Anguilla rostrata (American eel) is the source of this 1459-nucleotide long non-coding RNA. RefSeq lists it as uncharacterized. The transcript is spliced from 3 exons. The record is from RefSeq and is a predicted model, not a curated record. NCBI's taxonomy places the organism in Eukaryota, Metazoa, Chordata, Actinopteri, Anguilliformes, Anguillidae.
AGGCAUGCACUUGCUGAACAUGGCAGUUCAAUUCAGACUUCCUUGUGAGUCACCUGCUGUGAUUUGCCAGACUCUGUCCCUCUGGCUCCUGGUAAUUCAGCAUCCGGAUGCAUAUGGCACCCCCUGUGGAGCAAAGGAUUGGUUCUCUGUGUAUGGCAAACACGAGCCAGCAAGUGUCACUUACUCUCACAUUGGACAGAUUCCCAAGGCAUCAAGGGCUCUGCUCCAGGAUAUUGUGUUCAGAAUCGCAUGGCUUGCCGCUAUAUUGUGACAUGACAUGCUGGAUGAGCGUCAAAAAGAAAACCGGUUUCUCGGGUGGAUGCUGCUGCUGAAGUGUAAAGUCAAGAAUUCAAAAAGGCAAAAACAAAAUCAAGGAUUCCUUGCAAAAGAGAGACGAGUUCAAACAAAUUACACUCCAGCCUUGAGGGGACAGAGGCAAAAUGGGGUGGGGGUGGGUGGGGGGGGACUGUCAGGAAGCGAGGGCUGGCCACACUGGCACCCACAGAAGAAUGGUUUGUAAUCAGAGAGAUGACAACUGGAACAAGUAGAUGGAUUUUAAAAAUGCAGGCUUUUGCCUCACCGAAGGAAAUUGCGUGUGUGCCUUCUUUUGUAGCGUAAAGAGAAUGCAUGUUUAAUUGAUAUCCUGCAACUACAAUACCUCCAUCACUUCUGCCAGCGCCAGAUGGCUUGAAUCUCAUUUCCAUCGCUAAGAUAUCGUGUUUUGGCAGCAAUUCUGAAGCUAUGACAGUCGUUAUUCUUUGCAUGCUGAAUGCAACAAUUAAAUGGAUAUUAAACCAAUGCACAAUUUCCAUGGAUGCUAUAUACUACGAUUUGAAGUGAAAGCACAAUUCAAAAUAGAUUACUUUUUUCUUUCCCCAAGCACUAGGGUGUACUUAUUAGAUUAGUGGGCUGGAAGCAAAGAGGAUCUUGGUAAGGCACUAAAAUAAACCAACAGAAUGUGAGUUGAUUAUAAUCACCUUAAUCUUUCAGGUUGAGUGGAUAUACACACAUGCAUUCUCAUAUAGACUACCCUGUAUGACUGUCAUGCGAUUUCUCUGUAUUAUGGCUUGGAAAUGUUAGGGUGAAAGUCAGAUAUUCUUAAAUUAUAUUGUAUGUGUAAGUAUUUUAGUUUUAGUGAGUACAUGUUCUCCUGGAUGUACCAGGCCUUAAAAAAAAAAGAGCAGCACAUUUGGAUUCUCAUGAAAUAUUCCCACCACAUGCUCAUUCCAAAAGGCACAGACAUUUGUUAUGAUGUACAACAUUAACUUGAUACAAAUGCAAUGAUGCAAUUUAACCAUUGUUCAAUGUAGGGUAAAAAAAACCUGAGCAUCUUAUAUUUUUAUGGUAUCUUCAGCUGCCUCUGAAACUCAUUUGUCCAAAAAAAAAAAAAAAAAAGACCUGAAAAAAUUAAGGCUUGUUCCAAAGUGGUCCCAUAAUUUUAAGGACAAUUUUGCUUUGA